RNAcentral lists this small RNA (718 nucleotides) under Vigna angularis var. angularis. RNAcentral describes it as "Non-protein coding transcript". Lineage: Eukaryota; Viridiplantae; Streptophyta; Magnoliopsida; Fabales; Fabaceae. The record is from RNAcentral.
UGUUGCUCUUAACGGAUCUAUUAAUAGAAAAAAAAUGCACAAAUCUGAAGUACAACAGGUAGAUGAGAAAAUCUGCACCUUGGACCCUACAUGAUUGGCAGGCACAGCCCAAAAAAACACCUUAGAAGACAAUAAACUUUUUUAACAAAACUAAAUCUCAACAUAAUUAAUCAAGACAAAUAACUUUGUCUAUUAAGUUUCUUGGAAGUUAUUGUGGGAGUCCCAAGAAAUGAGGAAAUUGGACUAGACUCCAUUCUACGGAAGAGGAGGAGAAAUAUUGUCCAAGGAUUUUUUUUGGACCCCACUGACCAGACAGGGGUGAUGGUCCCAAAAGAUGGUUGGAACAGGGACUGGAAGAGCUGAUGAAGCCCCUAGAGGAGAUGUGGUGUCACUCCUAUCACAUGAAGGCGGUGCGUGGGUUUCAUGUGCCUAAUUGUACCAUACCAAAGUGGUGUGUGGAGGAGUGUGCAGAGGCUUUAGCCUCUGAAACUAGUUGGGUUGUUAUUGUGUGAAUAGGCAGUGACUAACCAAACCUACUUUGAUACUAACUUGAGAUUAUUAACUUUUAGAAAUAAGGCUUGAGUGUAUAUUUUGACUUACAAUUUGUGUAUAUACCCUUGUGGGUGUGUACAAAAAGGUCUGAAGAGAUGUGCGCAGUAAGGGAAAAAAUUCCACUACCUAUGUCACCCAGUGAUGGAUCCCAAAUCCUGCAACAGUA